Pelobates cultripes (western spadefoot toad) is the source of this 2015-nucleotide non-coding RNA. The record is from the annotation of a GenBank genome assembly. NCBI's taxonomy places the organism in Eukaryota, Metazoa, Chordata, Amphibia, Anura, Pelobatidae.
GACAACAGGUGGAAAUUAUAGGCAAUUAGUAAGACACCCCCAAUAAAGGAGUGGUUUUGCAGGUGAUGACAACAGACCACUUCCCAGUUCCUAUGCUUCCUGGCUGAUGUUUUGGUCACUUUUGAAUGCUGGUGGUGUUUUCACUCUUGUGGUAGCAUGAGACGGAGUCUACAACCCACACAAGUGGCUCGGGUAGUGCAGCUCAUCCUGGACGGCACAUCAAUGCAAGCUGUGGUAAGAAGGUUUUCUGUGUCUGUCAGAGUAGUGUCCAGAGCAUGGAGGCGCUACCAGGAGACAGGCCAGUACACCAGGAGACGUGUAGGAGGGCAACAACCCAGCAGCAGAGCCGCUACCUCUGCCUUUGUGUAAGGAGGAGCACUGCCAGAGCCCUGCAAAAUGACCUCCAGCAGGCCACAAAUGUGCAUGCGUCUGCUCAAAUGGUCAGAAACAGACUCCAUGAAGGUGGUAUGAGGGCCCGACGUCCACAGGUGGGGGUUGUGCUUACAACCCAACACCGUGCAGAGAACACCAAGAUUGGCAAAUUCGCCACUGGCGCCCUGUGCUCUUUACAGAUGAAAGCAGGUUCACACUGAGCACAUGUGACAGAGUCUGGAGACGCCGUGGAGAACGUUCUGCUGCCUGCAACAUCCUCCAGCAUGAUCGGUUUGGCAGUGGGUCAGUCAUGGUGUGGGGUGGCAUUUCUUUGGGGGGCCGCACAGAGGUAGCCUAACUGACAUUAGGUACUGAGAUGAGAUCCUCAGACCCCUUGUGAGACCAUAUGCUGGUGCGGUUGGCCCUGGGUUCCUCCUAAUGCAAAACAAUGCUAGACCUCAUGUGGAUGGAGUGUGUCAGCAGUUCCUGCAAGAGGAAGGCAUUGAUGCUAUGGACUGGCCCGCCCGUUCCUCAGACCUGAAUCCAAUUGAGCACAUCUGGGACAUCAUGUCUCGCUCCAUCCACCAAUGUCACGUUGUACCACAGACUGUCCAGGAGUUGGCAGAUGCUUUAGUCCAGGUCUGGAAGGAGAUCCCUCAGGAGACCAUUCACCACCUCAUGAGGAGCAUGCACAGGUGUUGUAGGGAGAAGAUUUUCCCCUUCUAGAGACACAGGCACAGCUACCACAGAACCCCAAACUCCCAAACAGGAUACAAAGUAGCACUCCAAACUCCCGAACUGGAACCUCACGAAUAGCUGCUAGCAGCUGAACAGGAAAAGCACCCAAGUGGCUUACACUCCUGGCAAUCAGUCUCUAACAGCAUACAGUAAAUCCCCCCAAGAACGAGACAAGGCUCCGUUUUGAGUGUCAAGCAGGAACAGGCAGAGCUGUGCGUUUAUUGUUCUUAUAUACACAUUCUUACACAUUAGUACCACCCACAGGGUUUUGGAAAACAACCAAUAAACACGUACAAUACACUCAGACACUCCCACACAAAAUCCUCCCCUCUGCCUGUGAUACAAUUACCUUACACAAUGGGUAAUGUAAUUAUCACAGGCAGAGAAAUACAGUUUUUCCACAUUAUUCAUAAUUUUAAAAGUAUGCAUCACAUUGAGAUAAAACUUACAUUUUCAGAAUCAGCAUAUUCCAAAUACAAACAUAAGUCAAAAUCAUUCAAAUUGGUCCAGUGGUUCAAAAGAUAGAUCAUAGUCCUUUGUGACCAACAAUGACCCAACAAUGGCUCAGGCCCGACACCCCUCCUAUGAGCAAAGUCAAAAUAGGAAAAUAAUAAUAACUACGAGACGAAUAGAAUAACAGGUUAUGAUACAAAGUUUUAGAUGUUCGUGUUAUCUUAAGGAAAACACCAAAUAUGGUGUUUCCAGGUUUUGAAGUUUAUUGUGUUUAUGAAAAUGGAAAAACACUGAUGGACUGCAGCUUCAGACAACAACGCAGAAAGUAAAGGCGGGGCUUCCGAACAACAAAUGUAUACCUAACAAAACUAUUAUCUUUUUUCGGUAUCGCUGAAAAACCAAUGCAUCUCUUGAUGCUAGGCUUAUGCACAAGCCCCAAUACUGUUUACAAG